UCAAGUGUUCGGUGUAUACUGUGUACAAGGCACUAUACAAGUGCUAUGGAGUUUACAAGGAUGAAUAAACUAUAGAUUUUACCCUCAAAUAACUUAGAUUCUAGUGAGGCUGGCACAUCCACACCCGUCAAUACACAGCUGAAAGGUGUCGUUAGACAAACAGUUAAUGUAUGUGGGAGUUCACAGGAAGAUCACUUUAAGCCCAGUGAUGGGAAAAACUCUAAUGAAGGGAAUUAAUUGCCUGCUUUGUGCAUUAAUUAGUCACAUAUGAGUGCCUCAAGCUGCCCUGGGGUCCUCUUUCCACAGAGGCUUGUGUGAUGUGUUCAUGAGAAAAUACUUUAAAUUAAGCUAAAAUGAACAAUUCAGAUUAAACUUGUUUUGGCCCACAUCCCAUACUUACCUUGGCCAUAAAAAGGAAAAAAAAGCAAGGCGGUGGAAAGAAGAAAAGAAAGAAAAAUGAUAAGGUAUUAUCCUCCCCUCAGUGCUGUGUUGCCUUGGCACCCAGCCUUGCAUCCUGUUUUCCGACCUUCUCGUUGGCUGUGGAAUCAGGUAGGUGUGUGAGAAGAUUGGUUUAGAUUCUACAAGAAGUAGUCAGAGGCCUUGAAAAUAAGUUGAUUAUACCACAGUGGCUCACACCUGUAAUCCCAGUACUUUGGGAGGCCGGGCCAGAGGAUCACUUGAGGUCAGGAGCUCGAGACCAGCCCGGCUAACAUAGCAAAACUCUGUCUCUACUAAAAAAUACAAAAAUUAGCUGGGUGUGGUGGUUGGCACCUGUAAUCCCAGCUAUUCAGGAGGCUGAGGCAGGAGAAUCGAUUGAACCUGGGAGGCAGAGGUUGCAGUGAGCCAAGAUUGAGCCAAUGCACUCCAGCCUGGGCAACAGAGCGAGACCAAAAAAGUUGAUUAAAACCUUUUUUCACACUGAAAACAAUUAGUUUUGCCAUUCUUUGUUGUCUUUACUUUUGUGCAUCUUCCCUGAAAAUAUACUGCAGCAUUCUACUUUUUUCUUUUUGCUGCAGGUAUCUGAUGAGCUUUGGGAAACUCUCUUAUUUUAACCACUGAGGAAAGGAAAAGCAGCUGCUGUGGUGGAAC
This 1089-nucleotide long non-coding RNA is filed under the name Homo sapiens (human). Its description in RNAcentral is "HSALNT0089376". The record is from RNAcentral. Lineage: Eukaryota; Metazoa; Chordata; Mammalia; Primates; Hominidae.